GGUCUCCUUAUGCUUACCACAGGUUGUGUUCCUAUACUGACUGUAUAGAAAGAGGAUAGACAUGCGAAGCCCUGUACACAUCCAUCCCUUAGGAAUAUUCAUAACAACAUGAAAAUGUGCAAAGAGGA
Molecule: small nucleolar RNA, 128 nt
Organism: Rattus norvegicus (Norway rat)
Lineage: Eukaryota; Metazoa; Chordata; Mammalia; Rodentia; Muridae
Product: small nucleolar RNA SNORA51
Source: Ensembl